Non-coding RNA from Hordeum vulgare subsp. vulgare (domesticated barley), 124 nucleotides. The record is from Rfam. NCBI's taxonomy places the organism in Eukaryota, Viridiplantae, Streptophyta, Magnoliopsida, Poales, Poaceae.
UGAUUAUUCCCUCCAUACGGAAAUAUUUGUCCUAGAGAUGAAUGUAUCUAGAUUUAUUUUAGUUAUAGAUACAAUCAUUAUAUUCAUUUUUAAGACAAGUAUUUCCGGACGGAGGGAGUAUUAA